Unclassified non-coding RNA from Erinaceus europaeus (western European hedgehog), 335 nucleotides. Its record names the gene 7SK. It matches the Rfam family "7SK RNA". Rfam says of the family: 7SK was discovered as an abundant small nuclear RNA in the mid-70s but a possible function has only recently been suggested. Two independent studies have found that 7SK RNA binds the CDK9/cyclin T complex (known as elongation factor P-TEFb). The record is from Ensembl. Lineage: Eukaryota; Metazoa; Chordata; Mammalia; Eulipotyphla; Erinaceidae.
GGAUGUGAGGGCGAUCUGGCUGCGACAUCUGUCACCCCAUUGAUAGCCAGGGUUGAUUCAGCUGAUCCAGCUGGCUAGGCAGAUGUCCCUUUCCUCCCUCACCGCUCCAUGUGCGUCAAUCCGGAAGCUGCGUGCUCAGUCGAAGAGAAUGGCCUUCCCCAAAUAGAGACGGAUGGAUCUUCAGUGGAGGGUGUAGGUGUAGCUGCAUUCCCCCUGCCAGAACCUCCAAAGAAGCUCUCCAGGUCCAUUUGUAGGAGAACAUAGGGUAGUCAAGAAGCUUACAAGGCUCCAGACACAUCCAAAUGAGAUGCUGCAUGUGGCAGUCUGCUUUUCUU